ACUUGCUUUCUUUGCUGGCGACCGGCGCACGGGUGAGUAACACGUACCCAACCUGCCCUUUACUCGGGGAUAGCCUUUCGAAAGAAAGAUUAAUACCCGAUAGCAUAAUGAUUCCGCAUGGUUUCAUUAUUAAAGGAUUCCGGUAAAGGAUGGGGAUGCGUUCCAUUAGGUUGUUGGUGAGGUAACGGCCCACCAAGCCUUCGAUGGAUAGGGGUUCUGAGAGGAAGGUCCCCCACAUUGGAACUGAGACACGGUCCAA
RNAcentral lists this ribosomal RNA (259 nucleotides) under uncultured bacterium. Its description in RNAcentral is "partial 16S ribosomal RNA". It matches the Rfam family "Bacterial small subunit ribosomal RNA", at positions 74 to 334 of the family's 1533-position model. The record is from RNAcentral.